GUGAAAGCAGUGUACCGCCAUCUUUUUUGUGGGCAAAGAGUCCUUCGAGGUUUAUGUUUCCAAAGUAGGCUUCUCAGGAAGCCCAUAGAGAGACGUUCGAAAGAGAAUGGGCUCCUUGCACACUGAAAUACUGAGCCGAAUGGUUGGGGGUCGAAGUGGCAACCCAUGAAACCGAGAAUAAACGAGAGGCCUGCCCUGAGUAAAGUUGCAAAAGUUUCAGUCCAUGGACACUUGCUGCUGGAAGACAUGGGAGAGAGAGUCAAGCUACAGCAGAUACUGAGGCCAGUCGCUGUCAGAUGCCAUAGUGGCAUGGAAGCCAUGUAUAUUCAGAAAAAAGGCGCUUUGUGUUUGGAAUCUGAAUCUUCCCCCAGCCCAGUGGUAGGGAUUGAUUCAUCUCAGAAUUACAGAAGACCUAAAGCCAAGAAUCACCAGGAACACAGAGAGGCCAAAUCUCCCGUGGUUUCCUAAGCCUGGCCAAUGG
RNAcentral lists this long non-coding RNA (481 nucleotides) under Cricetulus griseus (Chinese hamster). Its description in RNAcentral is "lncRNA (ENSCGRG00015030853.1)". The record is from RNAcentral. Lineage: Eukaryota; Metazoa; Chordata; Mammalia; Rodentia; Cricetidae.